RNAcentral lists this ribosomal RNA (599 nucleotides) under uncultured marine eukaryote. RNAcentral describes it as "SSU rRNA". It matches the Rfam family "Eukaryotic small subunit ribosomal RNA", at positions 613 to 1219 of the family's 1831-position model. The record is from RNAcentral.
UUGCAGUUAAAAAGCUCGUAGUUGGAUUUCGGAGUGGGCCAGUUGGUCCGCCGCAAGGUGUGUUACUGACUGGUUUGCUCUUCUUCGCAAAGACUGCGUGUGCUCUUGAGUGAGUGUGCGUAGGAUUUACGACGUUUACUUUGAAAAAAUUAGAGUGUUCAAAGCAGGCUAUUGCUUGAAUACAUGAGCAUGGAAUAAUGGAAUAGGACUUUGGUCCCAUUUUGUUGGUUUCUAGGGCCGAAGUAAUGAUUAAGAGGGACAAUUGGGGGCAUCCGUAUUUCGUUGUCAGAGGUGAAAUUCUUGGAUUUACGAAAGACGAACAACUGCGAAAGCACUUGCCAAGAGUGUUUUCAUUAAUCAAGAACGAAAGUUAGAGGAUCGAAGACGAUCAGAUACCGUCCUAGUUCUAACCAUAAACGAUGUCGACUAGGGAUCAGCGGGCGUUAUCGUACGACCCCGUUGGCACCUUACGGGAAACCAAAGUUUUUGGAUUCCGGGGGAAGUAUGGUUGCAAAGCUGAAACUUAAAGGAAUUGACGGAAGGGCACCACCAGGAGUGGAGCCUGUGGCUCAAUUUGACUCAACACGGGAAAACUUACC